AAGCGCCGGUAAGGUGAUAUGAACCGUUAUAACCGGCGAUACCCGAAUGGGGAAACCCAGUGUGAUUCGUCACACUAUCAUUAACUGAAUCCAUAGGUUAAUGAGGCGAACCGGGGGAACUGAAACAUCUAAGUACCCCGAGGAAAAGAAAUCAACCGAGAUUCCCCCAGUAGCGGCGAGCGAACGGGGAGGAGCCCAGAGCCUGAAUCAGCAUGUGUGUUAGUGGAAGCGUCUGGAAAGGCGCGCGAUACAGGGUGACAGCCCCGUACACAAAAGCGCAUGUGCUGUGAGCUCGAUGAGUAGGGCGGGACACGUGGUAUCCUGUCUGAAUAUGGGGGGACCAUCCUCCAAGGCUAAAUACUCCUGACUGACCGAUAGUGAACCAGUACCGUGAGGGAAAGGCGAAAAGAACCCCGGCGAGGGGAGUGAAAAAGAACCUGAAACCGUGUACGUACAAGCAGUGGGAGCACCCUUCGGGGUGUGACUGCGUACCUUUUGUAUAAUGGGUCAGCGACUUAUAUUCUG
Molecule: ribosomal RNA, 525 nt
Filed under: Salmonella enterica subsp. enterica serovar Typhimurium
Lineage: Bacteria; Pseudomonadati; Pseudomonadota; Gammaproteobacteria; Enterobacterales; Enterobacteriaceae
Description: partial 23S ribosomal RNA
Rfam family: Bacterial large subunit ribosomal RNA
Source: RNAcentral